GACGAACGCUGGCGGCGUGCCUAAUACAUGCAAGUUGAGCGCUGAAGGUUGGUACUUGUACCAACUGGAUGAGUAGCGAACGGGUGAGUAACGCGUGGGGAAUCUGCCUUUGAGCGGGGGACAACAUUUGGAAACGAAUGCUAAUACCGCAUAAAAACUUUAAACACAAGUUUUAAGUUUGAAAGAUGCAAUUGCAUCACUCAAAGAUGAUCCCGCGUUGUAUUAGCUAGUUGGUGAGGUAAAGGCUCACCAAGGCGAUGAUACAUAGCCGACCUGAGAGGGUGAUCGGCCACAUUGGGACUGAGACACGGCCCAAACUCCUACGGGAGGCAGCAGUAGGGAAUCUUCGGCAAUGGACGAAAGUCUGACCGAGCAACGCCGCGUGAGUGAAGAAGGUUUUCGGAUCGUAAAACUCUGUUGGUAGAGAAGAACGUUGGUGAGAGUGGAAAGCUCAUCAAGUGACGGUAACUACCCAGAAAGGGACGGCUAACUACGUG
RNAcentral lists this ribosomal RNA (497 nucleotides) under uncultured bacterium. RNAcentral describes it as "partial 16S ribosomal RNA". It matches the Rfam family "Bacterial small subunit ribosomal RNA", at positions 28 to 507 of the family's 1533-position model. The record is from RNAcentral.